This 273-nucleotide ribosomal RNA is filed under the name uncultured bacterium. Its description in RNAcentral is "partial 16S ribosomal RNA". It matches the Rfam family "Bacterial small subunit ribosomal RNA", at positions 524 to 796 of the family's 1533-position model. The record is from RNAcentral.
AACGUAGGAGCCUAGCGUUAUCCGAAUUUACUGGGCGUAAAGCGCGUGCAGGCGGCCUGGCAAGUGGAUUGUGAAAUCUCCCGGCUCAACUGGGAGGGGACGGUCCAAACUGCCAGGCUGGAGGCAGGUAGAGGGAGGUGGAAUUCCCGGUGUAGUGGUGAAAUGCGUAGAGAUCGGGAGGAACACCAGUGGCGAAGGCGGCCUCCUGGACCUGACCUGACGCUCAGACGCGAAAGCUAGGGGAGCGAACGGGAUUAGAAACCCCAGUAGUCC